Molecule: small nuclear RNA, 102 nt
Organism: Panthera pardus (leopard)
Lineage: Eukaryota; Metazoa; Chordata; Mammalia; Carnivora; Felidae
Source: Ensembl
GUGCUCCUUGGGCAGCACCUGUACUUGAAUUGGAACAAUACAGAGAUUAGCAUGGUCCCUGCCCAAAGAUGACAGCAGGAUGAUGAACUCUUAAAUGUAAAC